ACGGAAGGCAGCAGUGAGGAAUAUUGGUCAAUGGACGCAAGUCUGAACCAGCCAUGCCGCGUGCAGGAAUAAGGCCCUAUGGGUCGUAAACUGCUUUUGUGGUGGAGCAAUAAGUCGUACGUGUACGGCGAUGAGAGUACAUCACGAAUAAGCAUCGGCUAACUCCGUGCCAGCAGCCGCGGUAAUACGGAGGAUGCAAGCGUUAUCCGGAUUUACUGGGUUUAAAGGGUGCGUAGGCUGUGGUCCAAGUCAGGGGUGAAAGCCCGGAGCUCAACUCCGGAACUGCCUUUGAUACUGGAUUGCUGGAAUACGGAUGCCGUGGGAGGAAUGAGUAGUGUAGCGGUGAAAUGCAUAGAUAUUACUCAGAACACCGAUUGCGAAGGCAUCUCACGAAUCCGUCAUUGACGCUGAGGCACGAAAGCGUGGGGAUCAAACAGGAUUAGAUACCCUGGUA
Molecule: ribosomal RNA, 454 nt
Filed under: uncultured Rikenellaceae bacterium
Lineage: Bacteria; Pseudomonadati; Bacteroidota; Bacteroidia; Bacteroidales; Rikenellaceae
Description: partial 16S ribosomal RNA
Rfam family: Bacterial small subunit ribosomal RNA
Source: RNAcentral